CAGCCGCCGCGGGAAUACGUAGGGUGCGAGCGUUAAUCGGAAUUACUGGGCGUAAAGCGUGCGCAGGCGGUUUGUUAAGACAGAUGUGAAAUCCCCGGGCUUAACCUGGGAACUGCAUUUGUGACUGGCCGGCUAGAGUAUGGCAGAGGGAGGUGGAAUUCCACGUGUAGCAGUGAAAUGCGUAGAUAUGUGGAGGAACACCGAUGGCGAAGGCAGCCUCCUGGGCCAAUACUGACGCUCAUGCACGAAAGCGUGGGGAGCAAACAGGAUUAGAUACCCCUGUAGUCCCUGUCUCUUAUAC
RNAcentral lists this ribosomal RNA (301 nucleotides) under uncultured bacterium. RNAcentral describes it as "partial 16S ribosomal RNA". It matches the Rfam family "Bacterial small subunit ribosomal RNA", at positions 509 to 807 of the family's 1533-position model. The record is from RNAcentral.